Long non-coding RNA from Dreissena polymorpha, 2711 nucleotides. RefSeq lists it as uncharacterized. Lineage: Eukaryota; Metazoa; Mollusca; Bivalvia; Myida; Dreissenidae. The transcript is spliced from 2 exons. The record is from RefSeq and is a predicted model, not a curated record.
AUCGAUUUAAAUAACAAUAUGAUAUUUAAAUAUCGGAUAAGGCUAUGUUAACUGUUGUUCGAAGUGAUGUUCUACGAAAUGGUUGUUUAAACUAUUGCUGUUAGGAGCAGAUUGGAUAUUAUGUUUAUGAAUGCAAGUGUGGCAUUCCAUCAUUGUAAUAUGUACUUCCGGUGUGGUGAUGAAAACCGCUUGUUAUUCUUGUAAGCGACCAAAUGACACAGUUCUGGCACAACAACUUGCAGAAGGAAUUGCGAACGAGGACUAUUGGACCUUGUAUGCCAUGCACCCGGUCAUGCAAAUGGUAUAUGAACAUACAUAUAAAGACACGUUUAAUGAAAAGCGAAAUGAAAAGGAAGCUUUCAUUUAUGGUACUCGUAAAUGCAAAUCGCAGGGUAUAGAUUGGAAAAAAGGGAACCAUGUGAUGGAUUUAUCUACGUGUCCUUGGUACUUGGAGCUUACCUACGAUGAAGACAGGUUCCCUGCCAUCAUGACUACAACACGAUGCCGAUGCAAGAUUUGCUACACACAAGAAGGAAGCCGUCCCAAAAAUACCAAGGGUCAGCCGAAGUGUCACCCAAUAUAUAUCCGACAACUUGUAUUGCGAAAAAGUUAUGUCGACAGUGAUUUAAACGCUCCUGUUUGCACAUACAAUCUUUCUUAUCAAAAAGUCGGAGUUGGUUGUACGUGUAAGUUAAGGAGACUCGAUUCAAGGUCGCAAAGCAGUAGUAUUCAUAAACCUGGUGCGUGAUGAUGUCGUAAAAAGUGCGUGUAAGGGUAAGACCGAGCACGAUCACUGGGGGGUCCUCAAUCUUGUCUCUGUGUUCGUCAUUAGAGCGAUAAAAUGUGUGUCAAGAGGAUAGGGAUUAGCUUAAGAAACUUCAGCGUACAGUUUAUAUAGUAUUGACAUACCUGUACGCUGAAGCCAACCCCAUAUCGAAAGUCAACCAGAGUCGUAACAUAUUUAUGUCACGCUAUAUAUCAAAGAAUGCUCAUUUUCUUGGAUACAUUUCUACAUAUAUUGAUGAAUAAAUAUAAAUUAGUGCAUCGAGGAAUAUGUUAAGGUUCAAAUAUUUCAAAUGCAUCUUACAAUAGAUGAAAAUAACUUUUAUCAGUCUGAAAUUUACAAUUUUGACGCCAUUGUCGCUUUGUCACGUGACGAGUUUUCAUUUGGAUACUUUCGGAUGGACCUUGACAUUUUAUGCUGAAAUUGUAAACAUUACUUUCGUUUUCUGAAAUCUAUUAUUUGUGAUUAACAACUUACGUCUGGUGGAUUAUAAGACUGAUUUAAAUGUGAAUCAGGUAGUUUUAAAUAAUAUUUACUUUGAGUUUGUAUUUACACUACAAUUUGUUUACAAAACAAGCCAGAAUAAUCUAAAAUACCGGGAAAUGUCAUUCUGAAUUUGAAAACACUUGAGCACAUGGUAUGUUACUAAAAAUAGAAAUAACGUCAUAUGACCGUGAAUCUCGGGAGAUUCGCAUUUCAAGAAAGUCUGUCACAUCGCUGUUUUUCUCGAUAUGUAAGAGCAGAAUAGAUAAAUUUUAAAUGUUUAAGAUAGUAUUUUGUGAAAGAAUAUAUCAGUUAAAUGUGAAAAAUAUCAAUCUUUCCGAUCAAGUUGUUGAUUUGGGCCAAUAACUGCAUUUAAAAGCUAUUUUGGACCAGUCUUUGUUAACUGUCAACUUUUCGGGAAUUUCUGGUUGACUUUCCUGAUGGGGUUUGUCCAUAACUAUAAAGGUGCGCCAGUAAAAAAUCAUAAAAAGCGACAUUUAAAGUUAUGGUAGCCAAAACUAGAUAGGGAUGUGUGAGCUUUUCGUUGAAGUUAUAUUAUAUAUUUUAUAUAAAGGAAAUUUAUUGUUUGACAAACGUUAACUAAAAUAUAAUCAUCAUUUGAUGUUCCAAACAUAUUGCUAUGACACCGACUUUAUGCGAUGAAAAACAAGACAGGCUAAUUUCUGUGCAUAUAUGAAUGUACAUAUCGACAUAUACUAAGUAUUAUGAAAAAGAUGCGGUAGUUUGAUUUUUUGUUUGUUAAUAAACAUGUUUUCUGAGGAUAUAAUAAAAGGCCAAUUAACGACAAGUUCUAAUCAGAAUUUAUAAACAAUAAGCUAUUUCAGUAAAAAAGACGAAAUCAACAUGCUCUUGACUGAUGUAGCACAUAAUUGUUGUAAAGUAAAUACGUUUGGUUUGAUUUUUGUAAAUUUUAACCACACCUUAAACUGUAAAAUUUCCCAGCAUGUAAGUACCCGAUACUUGUCAAACCCGUUAUUAUAUUAAAUAAAGAUAUUUCCUUGUUUCAAGUUCAUAAUCAUUUAAGUAGUGCAUAUUGUUUUUCACACUAGCAAUUUGUAAAUUCUUAUGAAAACUCAUACAAAAAUUACUAUAUUAGGUUUUCUAUUUCAUUUAUGAAAGCCUUUUUUGUGCGAUUGUGUGUUUUUUUUUCACAACAGUACUGAGCUUUUGCAUUUUUUGUGUUGUCAAUUUUAUGCAAUUAUCUAAUCGACGUUGAGUCAUGACCCUCGAUACAAAAGCUGUAAAUCAUCGUGUAUUCUUGCAAUUUGUACAAGUAUGUAAAGUUUGAUUUAUUUCUCCCAAUGGUUACCAACCCAGUUUUUGAAAGUAUUUAUUUCAUACACGAGCAAUAAUAAUUCAUGGUACAAUAAUUAUCGUAAAAUGUGUUUUAAGUAUAGCUCGCCAAUAUCAAGCUGGCACUGGC